AGGGCAGGUUCUUCCCACCUUGUUUAUAAGCACAAGAGGGAAAUGAUGCCCCCCAGUUCCCAGAAGUUGAAGGCGGCAGGGCAGGGGAGGCCUGAAGAGCAGCACUCAGAGUGCAACUUCUCAGACUUCUCCCAUCCCUUCCACGCCCAGGGGGAACAGAGAGUCUCCCAAAGCCUCUCAGGGAUCAUCUGGUCUAAUACUCCACUGGCCAGAUGUGGCAACAGGAUCAGAGAGGGGAAGUAACUUCCCCAAAGCCACCAGCAACUUAACCACAGCCACAGGACUAGGCCAGAAGCCCUGAAUCCUCCUUCUGCCGUCAUAUGCUUACAAGCUUCUCUGCCUGACGAUCCCUGUCCCAUGUCAAAGGCAGUCCCUGGGGUCACUGCAUCCAUGUGUACACUCAGGUUAUUCCCAGGCCAGGCAGGAUCGCGAGAGGCAGGGCAGAACCCACUCGGCGUGUGAGCUGAUCUCCCCCAUGAUUUCACAAGUCCCGUUCAGCCCCGGGACACAGCCCACUCUUCAGACUGGGACAGGAAGGCCCAGAGGUGUGCGAAGCGGGAAAAGCUGAAGCUCCGGUCCCUUUGUACUCAGGCCCAAGAACUGAGGUGCAUCUGGGCUCCAGAAUGAGAGCGCAGACCCUGUUCAGCACCUCCCCAAGGAGGCCCACCAACAGGAGGAUGUCUCUUGGCACUGGCUUUGGGAACAAGAGAAGAGGGAACCCCGGGACCUGGGGAGAGGCUGGAGCACUCAGAAGUCGGGCCCAUUCCAGCCCUAACAGGAAGCCAGUGAGUAGUGGAGACCAAGGGUGCUGUGUCCAGAGCGGAGAGGAAGGGGCAGGGUGGUGCUGACGCCCCAGUCCUGUUCUGCCUGCCACAGCCCCACUCACCAGGUCUGAGUCCCCAGAGGCCCCCCUUACUCCCUGCUUCAUUCCCUCUGGAAGGGGCAAGUCUGCGGCUUGGCUGGGAGCUCCAGGGACUAAGGUAGCCCCACGGCCGUAGGACCCGCGCAUAGCUAAAACCCGGCGGGCCCUAGGGCCCCGCGGAGGAGCCCCAGCAGGCGGACCAGGCAGCCUUGCCCUCCCGGCGCUCCCAGCCUGUUGCUUAUUCAUUGAGAGUUGGAAAGCGCCGCCGCGGACAGCCGAGCCGGCGGCCGGCCAUGUAAGGCCCCAGGCGGCCCUGCCCGCUCCGUGCCCUGCGGAGAGCCUCGCGCAGCGCUGGGCGCCGCCCCUACCCUGCCCUGACCCCUUGGCCUCGAAAUGCUGUCAUCGGAGGAGCCGUCCCGCUCGGGACAAGGCCAGGAUGGACAAAGCUAAAGCCAGGGCAGGCAAGGAGCCGUCCUGUCCGCGAGGCCGUGGGAAAAGCAGCACGCACCGGGGGCCACUCCCGAGAGCCUCUCUGUCCACCAGGCCUCUGCAGAGGGCCCAUCAUGGCUCUGGGCCGAGCCAGCUGGCAGCUGGAGGUCCUGGUGUGGGGCGCCUGCUUGUGCGUCCUGGUACGCGGGCAGCAGGUACAGCCGGGGCAGGGCUCGGACCCGGGGCGCUGGCGGCAGCUGAUCCAAUGGGAGAACAAUGGGCAGGUGUACAGCCUGCUCAACUCGGGCUCAGAGUACGUGCCGGCCGGGCCUCCGCGCGCCGAGAGUAGCUCCCGGGUGCUGCUGGCGGGCACGCCCCAGGCCCAGCAGCGGCGCAGCCACGGGGGCCCCCGGCGUCGGCAGGCGCCGUCCCUGCCCCUACCGGGGCGCGUGGGCUCGGACACUGUGCGCGGCCAGGCGCGGCACCCAUUCGGCUUUGGCCAGGUGCCCGACAACUGGCGCGAGGUGGCCGUCGGGGACAGCACCGGCAUGGCCCGGGCCCGCACCUCGGUCUCCCAGCAACGGCAAGGGGGCUCCGCCUCCUCGGUCUCAGCCUCGGCCUUCGCCACCACCUACCGCCAGCCGGCCUCCUACCCGCAGCAGUUCCCCUACCCGCAGGCGCCCUUCGUCAGCCAGUACGAGAACUACGACCCCGCGUCGCGCACCUACGACCAGGGUUACGUGUACUACCGCGGCGCGGGCGGCGGCAUGGGCGCGGGGGCGGCGGCCGUGGCCUCGGCGGGCGUCGUCUACCCCUUCCAGCCCCGGGCGCGCUACGAGGACUACGGCGGCGGCGAGGAGCAGCCCGAGUACCCGGCCCAGGGCUUCUACCCGGCCCCAGAGCGGCCCUACGCGCCGCAGCCGCAGCCCCCCGACGGCCUGGACCGCCGCUACUCGCACAGCCUGUACCACGAGGGCACCGCGGGCCUGGAGCAGGCCUACCCCGACCCCAGCCCCGACGCGGCGCAGCCCGCCGGGGGCGCCUACGGCGGCGACCCCCGCCUGGGCUGGUACCCGCCCUACGCCAACGUGCCGCCCGAGGCCUACAGCCCGCGCGCUGUGGAGCCGCAGCCGCCCUUCCGCGUGCUGGAGCCGCCCUACCUGCCGGUGCGCAGCUCCGACGCGCCCCCGCCGGGCGGGGACCGGAGCGGCGCGCAGCAGGGCCGCCUCAGCGUGGGCAGCGUGUACCGGCCCAACCAGAACGGUCGCGGUGAGGCAGGGAGCGUCAGAGCCUGCAUCUGCCCGGCCAGCAAGGGGAGGUGUGGCAAGUGCCUGUUACUGGGCAUCUGUGAGCUUGGCCUGAGUGAUCCAGAGGUCUCCCCGACUUGGUCCCGGACCCCAACUACGUGCAAGCGUCCACCUACGUGCAGAGAGCCCACUUGUACUCCCUGCGCUGUGCCGCGGAGGAGAAGUGUCUGGCCAGCACAGCCUACGCCCCCGAAGCCACCGACUACGAUGUGCGGGUGCUGCUGCGCUUCCCCCAGCGCGUGAAGAACCAGGGCACGGCGGACUUCCUCCCCAACCGGCCACGGCACACCUGGGAGUGGCACAGCUGCCACCAACAUUACCACAGCAUGGACGAGUUCAGCCACUAUGACCUGCUGGAUGCAGCCACGGGCAAGAAGGUGGCUGAGGGCCACAAGGCCAGCUUCUGCCUGGAGGACAGCACCUGUGACUUCGGCAACCUCAAGCGCUAUGCGUGCACCUCUCACACGCAGGGCCUGAGCCCAGGCUGCUACGACACCUACAACGCGGACAUCGACUGCCAGUGGAUCGACAUAACAGAUGUGCAGCCUGGAAACUACGUCCUCAAGGUGCACGUGAACCCGAAGUACAUCGUUCUGGAGUCUGACUUCACCAACAACGUGGUGAGGUGCAACAUUCACUACACAGGGCGCUACGUCUCUACAACCAACUGCAAAAUUGUCCAAUCCUGACCUCCUCGAGGCUCCGACCAAUCUCUCCCUCCCAGAGCAAGCCCUGCCUCCACGGGCCUCCUGCCGAGGGGCCCAGCCCCACCCACAGGCAGGGGCAUCCGUCCCUGCCGGCCUCAGGGAGCGAACGAACGUGGACCGAAACCACAGGGAUUCCGGAUGCCAGACCCAUUUUGUACUUAACUUUUCUCUACGACAUUGUUUUGUCGGUUGUUGGUUUGUUUUUAUUUUUUAUAUUUUGGCCAUACUGCAGAGCAAGUUUGCCCAGUUCUGGGACGAAUAAAACAAGGUUUUUCUACUCUGUG
Molecule: non-coding RNA, 3589 nt
Organism: Microcebus murinus (gray mouse lemur)
Lineage: Eukaryota; Metazoa; Chordata; Mammalia; Primates; Cheirogaleidae
Source: RefSeq, a predicted model, not a curated record